RNAcentral lists this non-coding RNA (38 nucleotides) under Cloacibacillus porcorum. RNAcentral's name for it is "Selenocysteine insertion sequence 4". It matches the Rfam family "Selenocysteine insertion sequence 4". The record is from RNAcentral. Lineage: Bacteria; Thermotogati; Synergistota; Synergistia; Synergistales; Synergistaceae.
GGAACAUGUACUCGUUGCGGUGCAACGAUGGCCAAAGA